CUUAGUGGCGGACGGGCGAGUAACGCGUGAGCAACCUGUCCUUCAGAGGGGGACAACGGCUGGAAACGGCCGCUAAUACCGCAUGACAUAUCCGGAUGGCAUCGUCUGGAUAUCAAAGGAGAAAUCCGCUGAAGGGUGGGCUCGCGUCCGAUUAGCUAGUUGGUAGGGUAACGGCCUACCAAGGCGACGAUCGGUAGCCGAACUGAGAGGUUGAUCGGCCGCAUUGGGACUGAGACACGGCCCAGACUCCUACGGGAGGCAGCAGUGAGGGAUAUUGGGCAAUGGGGGAAACCCUGACCCAGCAACGCCGCGUGAGGGAAGAAGGUCUUCGGAUUGUAAACCUAAGUAGUCAGGGACGAAGAAAUGACGGUACCUGAAGAGUAAGCUCCGGCUAACUACGUGCCAGCAGCCGCGGUAAUACGUAGGGAGCGAGCGUUGUCCGGAUUUACUGGGUGUAAAGGGUGCGUAGGCGGGCUGUCAAGUCAGAUGUGAAAUACCCGGGGCUCAACUCCGGGGCUGCAUUUGAAACUGAUGGUCUUGAGUGAAGUAGAGGCAGGCGGAAUUCCUAGUGUAGCGGUGAAAUGCGUAGAUAUUAGGAGGAA
Molecule: ribosomal RNA, 602 nt
Filed under: uncultured Lachnospiraceae bacterium
Lineage: Bacteria; Bacillati; Bacillota; Clostridia; Lachnospirales; Lachnospiraceae
Description: bacterial SSU rRNA
Rfam family: Bacterial small subunit ribosomal RNA
Source: RNAcentral